GGAUGGGUGGCCGAGCGGUUGAUGGCUCCAGUCUUGAAAACUGGCGUGGGGGCAACUCCACCGUGGGUUCGAAUCCCACCCCAUCCGCCA
RNAcentral lists this transfer RNA (90 nucleotides) under Alphaproteobacteria bacterium. RNAcentral's name for it is "tRNA-Ser". It matches the Rfam family "tRNA". Rfam says of the family: Transfer RNA (tRNA) molecules are approximately 80 nucleotides in length. Their secondary structure includes four short double-helical elements and three loops (D, anti-codon, and T loops). Further hydrogen bonds mediate the characteristic L-shaped molecular structure. tRNAs have two regions of fundamental functional importance: the anti-codon, which is responsible for specific mRNA codon recognition, and the 3' end, to which the tRNAs corresponding amino acid is attached (by aminoacyl-tRNA synthetases). tRNAs cope with the degeneracy of the genetic code in two manners: having more than one tRNA (with a specific anti-codon) for a particular amino acid; and 'wobble' base-pairing, i.e. permitting non-standard base-pairing at the 3rd anti-codon position. The record is from RNAcentral. Lineage: Bacteria; Pseudomonadati; Pseudomonadota; Alphaproteobacteria.